This is a small nuclear RNA of Alosa sapidissima (American shad), 165 nucleotides long. RefSeq annotates it as U1 spliceosomal RNA. The record is from RefSeq and is a predicted model, not a curated record. Lineage: Eukaryota; Metazoa; Chordata; Actinopteri; Clupeiformes; Clupeidae. The transcript has a single exon.
AUACUUACCUGGCAGGGGUGAUACAAUGAUCAAGAAGGUUGUUUGCCCAGGGCGAGGCUCGGCCAUUGCACAUCCGGUCGUGCUGACCCCUGCGAAUUCCUCAAAUGUGGGAAUCUCGACUGCACAAUUUCUGUUAGUGGGGGACUGCGUUCGCGCUCUCCCCUG